This 78-nucleotide non-coding RNA is filed under the name uncultured Colwellia sp. Its description in RNAcentral is "Cyclic di-GMP-I riboswitch". It matches the Rfam family "c-di-GMP-I riboswitch aptamer", at positions 7 to 84 of the family's 87-position model. From Rfam's summary of the family: GEMM was predicted in a large-scale screen for bacterial structured RNA regulatory elements. Genes associated with GEMM are involved in a diverse array of functions, including chemotaxis regulation, signal transduction, secretion and chitin. The record is from RNAcentral. Lineage: Bacteria; Pseudomonadati; Pseudomonadota; Gammaproteobacteria; Alteromonadales; Colwelliaceae.
GAAACGGCAAGGUACUUUAAAGGGUGCUACGCAAAACUACCGGUCUAAGGGGCUAUCACCUAUGACAGCGGAGUUACC